Molecule: transfer RNA, 127 nt
Filed under: Penicillium coprophilum
Lineage: Eukaryota; Fungi; Ascomycota; Eurotiomycetes; Eurotiales; Aspergillaceae
Rfam family: tRNA
About the family: Transfer RNA (tRNA) molecules are approximately 80 nucleotides in length. Their secondary structure includes four short double-helical elements and three loops (D, anti-codon, and T loops). Further hydrogen bonds mediate the characteristic L-shaped molecular structure. tRNAs have two regions of fundamental functional importance: the anti-codon, which is responsible for specific mRNA codon recognition, and the 3' end, to which the tRNAs corresponding amino acid is attached (by aminoacyl-tRNA synthetases). tRNAs cope with the degeneracy of the genetic code in two manners: having more than one tRNA (with a specific anti-codon) for a particular amino acid; and 'wobble' base-pairing, i.e. permitting non-standard base-pairing at the 3rd anti-codon position.
Source: Rfam by way of RNAcentral
GGCCUAGUGGCGCAGUGGUAACGCGUCGCACUGUGAGUUUAACCUAAUUGACAAUCUCCGUCUUCUCAUUCUAACAAUUCUCGAAGUGUAAUGCGAAGACUCCCGUGUUCAAAUCACGGCUAGGCCU